GACAGCGGGUGCACACGUUGUUCGGAAUUACUGGGCGUAAAGGGCGCGUAGGCGGCGUGGUAAGUCACUUGUGAAAUCUCUGAGCUUAACUCAGAACGGCCAAGUGAUACUGCUGUGCUAGAGUGCAGAAGGGGCAAUCGGAAUUCUUGGUGUAGCGGUGAAAUGCGUAGAUAUCAAGAGGAACACCUGAGGUGAAGACGGGUUGCUGGGCUGACACUGACGCUGAGGCGCGAAAGCCAGGGGAGCAAACGGG
RNAcentral lists this ribosomal RNA (253 nucleotides) under uncultured bacterium. RNAcentral's name for it is "partial 16S ribosomal RNA". It matches the Rfam family "Bacterial small subunit ribosomal RNA", at positions 524 to 776 of the family's 1533-position model. The record is from RNAcentral.